CAUCUAUUCAUCUCCACCACCACCACCAAAGCCUUACUACUACCACUCUCCACCACCACCGGUGCACUCACCACCUCCUCCUUACCAUUACAGUUCCCCACCACCACCUCCAAAGAAGCCAUACAAAUACGCUUCUCCUCCACCUCCAGUUUACAAGUACAAAUCACCUCCUCCACCAGUGUAUAAGUAUAAGUCUCCUCCUCCACCACCGAAGAAGCCAUAUAAAUAUCCAUCUCCACCACCACCAGUUUACAAGUACAAGUCACCUCCUCCACCAGUUUACAAGUAUAAAUCUCCUCCACCACCAGUUUACAAGUACAAAUCACCUCCUCCACCGGUGUACAAGUAUAAAUCCCCUCCUCCACCAGUGUACAAGUACAAGUCUCCUCCACCACCACCUAAGAAGCCAUAUAAAUACCCAUCUCCACCACCGCCAGUUUACAAGUACAAAUCACCUCCACCACCGGUGUACAAGUACAAAUCUCCUCCACCACCAGUUUACAAGUAUAAAUCCCCUCCUCCACCAGUGUACAAGUACAAGUCUCCUCCACCACCACCAAAAAAGCCAUAUAAAUACCCAUCUCCCCCACCACCAGUUUACAAGUACAAAUCACCUCCUCCUCCAGUUUACAAGUAUAAAUCUCCUCCACCACCAGUUUACAAGUAUAAGUCACCUCCUCCCCCAGUUUACAAGUACAAAUCUCCACCACCACCACCCAAGAAACCAUACAAGUAUCCAUCACCACCACCACCAGUUUACAAGUAUAAGUCUCCCCCUCCACCUGUCUACUCACCACCACCAGUUUACAAGUAUAAGUCUCCUCCUCCACCUGUCUAUUCACCACCUCCACCAUAUAAGUACAAAUCUCCACCACCUCCUCCUUAUAAGUACCCAUCACCACCACCACCAGUUUACAAGUACAAGUCACCUCCUCCCCCAGUUUACAAGUACAAAUCUCCACCACCACCACCCAAGAAACCAUACAAGUAUCCAUCACCACCACCACCAGUUUACAAAUAUAAGUCCCCUCCUCCACCUGUAUACUCACCACCUCCACCAGUUUACAAGUAUAAGUCUCCUCCUCCACCCGUCAAUUCACCACCUCCACCAUAUAAGUACAAAUCUCCACCACCUCCUCCUUAUAAGUACCCAUCACCACCACCGCCAGUUUACAAGUACAAAUCACCUCCUCCUCCAGUUUACAAGUACAAAUCUCCACCACCACCACCCAAGAAACCAUACAAGUACCCAUCACCACCACCACCCGUUUACAAAUAUAAGUCCCCUCCUCCACCAGUUUACAAGUAUAAAUCUCCUCCUCCACCUGUUCACUCACCACCUCCACCACACUAUGUCUACUCUUCACCUCCUCCUCCGGUCUAUUCCCCUCCUCCACCACAUUACAUAUAUUCAUCACCUCCUCCUCCUUACCACUCUUAGAUAACGGUUUACCAUAGUAUCCCAUGGUAUGCUUCUUUUUUAGUACGACCAAUAUCUUUAUGAUUAAAAUGCUUCGAGAAAUACUAAUUUAUAUAUCAACAAAAUAUAUGUAUUUUAUCAACGAAACAAUUAAAUAAGAGAAUCAAAAUUAGUGAUUUGAAUAGUUUUACAUGCCAACACAUGCAAGUCGUUAUAUAGACCUCACAUUCAUUUUAUUCUUAUUAUUCUUAUAGUCUAAAUAGUACAAUUUUCUUGAAACGUCUAAAUUGACAUACAUCUUAUGGUACAGUUUACAAAAAUCAAUCUAAGCCUAUUUUAUUUCUAUUUAUAGUAUUAUAUGUAAAUAGAAAAAAUAUACAAACUAAAAGGAAAGUUGACAGUUAUGUUUCUUAUUAAUGCUUCUCACUCGUAUUGUUCUUUGAGUGCUUAAUUAAUGUGUUUAUGUGUUUGUAUAUACUUUUGUAGGGAUUAAGGAAUAUUGGAAAUAAAGAGAACAUAGUGCAAAGCAGGAAGAUGCAUUUAGCAAUAAGGGAGAAAAACAACGGAAGCAAAGUUUCCAUGCAUUUUGGUCUCAGAAAAAGUCACUUUGUUUUUCUUAUUUGUUUGUAUAUGAAUUAUUAUUCUCAUUAUUGAGUUUGGUUAUUGAAUUUAGACAGGUGUAAUACACUGUGUGUAAUAUCGUGAAUGCAUUUUGUUUUGGAACCUACUCUUUGCAAGGGGUUGGUUGGGAAAAUAAAAUUGAAUAUUUGUUCUACUAAUUCUUUGCAUAUUUAUUGUGAAAUUACAAUAUAAUCAAUGCUCAACUAAUUAUUUUUUUCAACAGAAAACUAAUGCAUUUCAUUAAAAAUUAAAGGACCAAUAUAAAGGAGAAUGUCAAAUUAUAAAGCUAAGAAUUUCUGAAAAAAAAAAUAAAGUUGAGAACUGACGCUGUAUAUGUUUAGCUUAGCAAAGGUGCAUUGUGCAUCCAUAUUAGUCUCUCUCCUACAAAACUCGACAUAAGAAUUAUUACAUAAUAACGAUAAAGUACUACAAUAUCUACUUAAAAUAGAAUCUACAUAUCAAUAGCUGUUAAUAAGUUUAAAGUCUCACCCUCACUCAAUAACUUAUUUAAGCAUUGAAUGUUCAAUCCAAUUGCUAUUAAUUUCGACAAGCCGGUCCUAAUUUACUCUCUCUCGGUUUUCUCUUCCAGUUUCUUCAUUGAGGAGUUAUUUUGGGUCAAUUAUUGACCUGAAAUCACUCCUCUUCAUCUUUUUAUGCCUAUUUCAAUCUAAAUAAGUGAUUUUCACAUAGAUUUAGGUUUUUUCUUUGUGGUUUUAUCAUCUAAGUGUGGUGGUUUGUUGUUCGUCGUCUUGUGCGGCGUUGUUCGAUUUCACGUUUCUUGCGGUGUUCAUUUAAUUCAUAUUGAAAGAUUGAUUAUUCAAUCGAAGAUUUGGGCGUCAACGUUGCAGAUCCGGAUGCUAUGGAUAUUCCGGUCACUUUAAUUUUAUCAUAUAUUUUUUGUUGUGAAAACCACACCAAUAAUAAACUUGAUGCGUGGAGCAAAUUAAUACCAAGUAAUCAAAUCAAGCGGGUAGCAAAUAAUUCAAACAAAAGUAAACGACAAGAGAUAAAAGGAAAGAAGGAGAACACAAGAAUUUGUUUACCCAGUUCGGUCUAAUGAUGACCUAGUCUAGGGGAGAUAGCAGCUCUCUGCUUCACUAUAAUGAUAUGAGUUUCUUUACAAAGAGAUAUUGAAUUACAAGAAUCAGUCUUCAAACCUAAUUCUACCCAAGUCCCAGCCUCUUCCCGUGACCAAGAGACUCAAUCCUAAUGGUGCUUUGUUCAACGUGAAUCAAAACAAUCCCAACCCUAGUGUUUGUUGCCAAGAGAAAUUCUCUAUAAACCCUAUUUUCUACACAGUGUUUUGUUUCUACACACUCUCAGUCUCUCAAAUAUUCAUAUGAUACAAAGCUUAUAUUUAUAGUGGAAAGCAUUCCUCAAAAAUUGGAAACAGGCCCACAAGCUGUUUUAUUUUUCUCAUCUUGCGAGAAAUCGGCCAUCAAGUUUGGAAAAUCGGCCACCGAUUUUUCACGAGACAAAAGUCUCCAAAACCAGGUCAAAAUCGACCACCGUGUGGUGUAACACCCCAUUCCCAAAUAUAAUUUAUUUAAAUGAAAUAAACACACAUCAGAGUAAUAAAUCCAAAUGGGCAUGUCACACUACAUUUUCAAAUUUCUGAAAUAGAAUAUAAAAAAUCUAUUUAUUAAACAUCCAAUGAAAUCAUCAUUUAAUAUGCAGCGGAAUAUUAUCAACGAAACGUCAACAACUGUUUAAACCUCCAAAAUAAUAUCUCAGCAUAAAAAGCCUCAACCAGAAUAAUUCAUCAACCAUAGGGCUACAACAACAUUAACCAAAAUUUGAUACAUAGAAUGAAAGAAAACAAUAAAAUCCCAUCCCACGUAUCAGAGCCCUAGACACUUUGAGCCACCACCUACUACUCAGGAUCACCUGCAAGUUACCCAUAGGAAGGGCAACAUUUCCAAGCAGAAGGGGUGAGAUUCUCAAUCAAUAAAAAUAAAAUAUAAUAACAUCAAUUGAAAAUCUAGCACCUUACAACAUCAAUGAUUAUUCAAUAAGCAUAGGUAUUUCAUAAUCGACAACAAUCAUUCAAAUAUAGAAUUCAAUCAACAAUGCAACUCAUGAUAUGACAUGACACCCCCCUUUAAUACUCCUCAAUAAAUGCAACUAUGCAUGUGGUACCAUAAUUCAGGGCCAUGACCCACACCACUGUCGAAUGGUUAAAGCAUUCUCAGCAGGACCUAAGUCCUCACCGCUCCACACCGCUUUGAACAACUAGUGUUCCACCGCUUUGAACGACAAGGCGUUCCAGAGCCGAAGCUCUCCCACUUUGAUGUUUAUGCAACUACCCCACCUGUGUAUAUCUACAUACAACUCGACCACUACAUAUGUAUCAUAUGACUUACUACUCCACAACUCAAACAAUCCAGACUUACACAAUUAUUUAUAAUUAUGCACAUACAUCAAUCAUCUCCGACAUUCACUAACACCAAUCAAUCCAAUCACUGGCUAGUUUAAAUAGGAUUUGGUCACCUACACCAGGGUUAUAUUAGUUAAAGAGGAAGUUAAAGAACGCUCAAGAAGUCCCCUCAUGCACUAAGCAACAGUUCAGAAAAGGCUGAUUAAGGUUCACUUCGCUUAAGCGACGGCUAGUUCGCUUAAGCGACCAGCUUACAGUAGGUUCUGGGUUCAGUUCGCUUACGGGUCGCUCACGGUUCGCUUGAGCGAACUUUGGACAGAAUGAAAAUGGUUUUUCGCUCACAGGGUCGCUUACCAUUCGCUUAAGCGAAAUCUUGGCAGAACCAAACUUAAUUUUCGCUUACCAGUUCGCUCACGGUUCGCUUAAGCGAACGGGUAAAAUCGCAUUCUGGGCAGCUUGCUUGAAUGCUCGCUUAAGCGACGGAUGCUUCGCUUAAGCGACCACUCAUCUGGGCAGUGCAAAACCUACGGUUUCAGACCUCUUCUCACUCCAAAAACCCCAUUUUAAUCCCCUGAUCACCCAAAAUGUUUUCCAACAGAUGUUUACAGGUCCUAUAUACAACUAGGCAUUACAAAGAAACACAAUUCAGCCAUCAACAACAACAAUUAUAGAAUCAUUCCACCAUCACACAAUAUUUCAUCAAUUCAUACAAUUCAUCCAAAAUUCAAUCAAUUCAUGGAUUACAGCAACAACAUGGAUUAAGAUUUCGUUCUUAACAUUAAAUUCCAAGAAACUAACAUCAUCUUUACUCAUUCCAUCAGAAUCAUCAUCAAACCCUAACUUUCAUCUUAUUUUCCAAAACUAUUCAAUUAGGUCAAUUUCAGAAAUUAUAGAUUAUGAUUAUUGAGAGAUAGUCUCACCCUUACCUUAGUUUUGCAGAAAAUUAGACAGCAAGGAUCGAUUUCUAGGCUCUCCUCUCUAGCUCUUGCUCUUCUUCUCCCUUUUCCCAAAACUUGUCUGUUGUACGUGAAACUGUUUUCUGACUAUUCCUUUUCCUAACUCCCCAAAACUAUAACUCCCCCUAUUACAUUAAACUCCAUUAAUUUUUAUUAAAUUCUAAUUAACUCCCUAAUUUCUAAAAUAAUAUUAAUUUCCAGUUAUUUUAAUUAUUAUUAUAUUAAACUAUAUAAUAAAAUGCACACACCACAUAAAUCACCAAAAAUCAUAUAAAAUCACAUUUGAGACUCCACAUAAUUCAAAAUAAAAUAAAAUAAUACUAGGGCGUUACAUGUGGUACAAAUUGGACACCGAAUUUGACAGACAGGAUGCACAUUUUUGAGUCACUUUUCAACAUUUUUGUAGGCAUUAUGUCGUUAUAUGCUAUUAAUUAACUUUGAUGUUGUGAGUUUAUUAGCAGAUUCAUCCUUUAAGUUUUUAGCGGUGUUGAAUGAUGUAAUCUCGAUUUGAAUGAAUGAAUAUCAUUUUAUUUUUGUAAAAAAAAAAAAAAAAAAAACUAUAUACAUCAUUACUGUAAUUUUUUUUACAACAUGUAUCAAUCAUUUUGUUACAUUUUGUAUUAGUUACUAAAGUAUAUCUACAAAUAGUCUAUGUCGUUAAUUGUGAUCGAAUGCACACAGAUUUUUACAUUAAAAUUUUGCAAACCAUCAAAGUUAAAAAAACAUGCAUAGAACAAACCUUGGGAUAUGUAUUCGAGAUGACGAAAACACUUUUUGUGUUGGAUAAAACUUUGUCCAUCACUGCAAUGUAUAAGCAUACGGGAGAAGUUUUGGGUUUUUUCCAAUCGUUACACUAAUUAAGUGAUAUGUAAUUUGACAAUGUUGACUUUACAUUGUACUCAAAGAUUAUUACAAAUGGUUUCCAUCAUCAUCGUGUUCAUGUUACAUAAUUUGGUCAAGUGAUUUCAGCUUACAGGGGCCUCUUUAAUACUUAUUUCACAAACUCUUAGGACGAGUUUAACAGACGACAAACCAAUGAGGUAGUUCACAUCCUUGUUGGGUUGUCAAAUUAUCAACUAAUCUCACUAUUUAUUCGCAUGUAAUUCGUUGUAUAAGCACUCUUAUUAUUAAUUAAACUAGCGAGUUAACCCGUGCAAUGUAUGAGCGACAUAUGCUACUAUUUUUUAAUCUCCAAAAUUAUAUUCUUUUUUUUGUUUUUUUAUAUAUCACUAGCGAAAAGACAAGCACUCUCGUGCCCGUCUUUCCGCUCUUUUUAUUGCGUUAAUGUUUGAAAAUUAUGAACAAUAUUUUUUUAUGAAAUUUUGAUUUUGAUUAAAACUAUAUAUAUAUAUAUAUAUAUAUAUGUUUGUUGCUUUAAAAUUAUAACAAAUCAAACUAAUCAUGAUUAUCUAUUUCAUUGAAACCAACAAUAUAACAAAAAAAAUAUAAUCUAAACUCUUAUUUUUUUAAUGACACCAACAACGAUCUUUAUUAUAGAAAAAGUUAUUUGAGGGUAUAAUUGAAAUAGUAAAAAAGUAAGUAUAUAAAAAUACUCAUCUAGUUUGUUAGACAUUUUAAAAGAUAAAAGAAAAAAAUUAGACAUAUAUAUAUAUAUAUAUAUAUAUAUAUAUAUAUAUAUAUAUAUAUCGUGUUUCUUACACUUUUAUUUUAAUACAUGAAUUUGCUUUAAUCUAUUUGUUUUGUGUUAUUUGUAUUGAAAGUUAAGGGUAAUUUUGGAAAGAGAAAAAUUCAGCCUAAAAGAGUCUAAAUAUGCUAUUUUCUUUAUAUAUAGUAUAAAUUAACUAACAUUUUAUAAGUUAUAGCCGGCCCUAGUUUUCUAGUGAGAGAAACUCCAACUUCUCUCUAGACUUUCUUUCUCCUUCGUUCAUCGAGGAGGGGUGGUUUUAGGUCAUUUUUUGACCUAGAAUCACCCCUCUACAUCUUUUUUCCCCUUUUCUUUCAAUCUAAAUAAGUGGUUUUCACAUCUAUCAAGUUUUUCGUUUUGUGUUUUUUGUGAUUUCGUCGUCUAAGUGCGGCGUUUGAUUUCGCGUCUUGUCGCGGUGUUUGUUCAGUUCCUAUUGAAAGAUCUACAUCAAUCAAUUACAAAUUCAAGCAAUGAUUUGGAUGUCAACGUUGCAGAUCCGGAAGCAUGGGUAUUUCGGUGAUUUAGGUUUGAUCAUAUUAUUUGUAGGCAUUUUGCUGUUGUAUGCUAUUAACUUGGGUGCUGUGAGUUUGCUCGCAUAUUCACCCUUUACAUUUUUAGCGAUGUUUGUAUCUGAUGUACUCUAUCGAUUUGAAUGAAUGAAUAUCGUUUUGUUUUUGUAAAAUAAAAAGUGUUUUUUUUUUUUUUUUAUAUUUUUUAUUAGUGACAAAUAUUUGACCCAUACAUUUUUUAUGUAUUAAUGAUAAAUAUUUGUUCUAGUUUUCUAAAUUUAUAAUGACAAAUAUAUCUUAUGUGUUUAUCAUUGACAAAUAUUUGACACAUUUUUUUAUAUAUUUAUCAGUGGUAAAAACCUCAUAAAGAACCUAUGUUAAAUACUUGUUCCGUACUUUUUUAAUUGAUCAAUUACAAAUAUUAGUCCCAUGCUUUUUAAUAUUUUUUGUUCAAUUUUUUAAAAUAUUUAUCAAUUAAUUUAGGGUUAACAGGCCUUUACCCCCUACAAUGAUAGGCGAAUACUUGACCCUAGAGCUCUAAAAUGUGUUUUUGUUGGCUAUUCCUCCACUUAAAAAGGAUAGAAAUGUUACCAUCCUUCGUACAAACAAUUCUGUGUCUAGAGAUGUUACAUUUCAUGAAGAGGAAGCUUUUUUCAAACAACCUUAUCUUCAGGGAGAGAAUUUAAGAGAAGAUAAGGAAAUAAAUCAUGAAAUCCUUGCUCUUCCUAUCCUUGAGUUUGCUUGUAUCCUAAGGUUGACAUAACCUUAGAGAACCUUUCAAACCAUGCUCAGGGUGAUUGUUUCAAUCCAUAUAAUGCCUUUUUCAACCUGCAUAUAGAAUUGGCAGCAAGAUUUUUACAAUAUUCUGGCGGUACCUCCAUAUAGAUUUCCUCCUCUAGUUCCCCAUGCAGGAAAGCAUUUUUCACAUCAAAUUGCUGCAAUUCCCAACCAUAAAAGGAAUGGAAAUGCAAUAAUUGAAGCUUAUACUGAUGAUGACCAUGCGGGGUCAAUUACAGACAAGAGGUCCACUACUUGAUAUUGUACCUUUGUUGGAGGAAAUUUAGUAACUUGGAGGAGCAAAAAACCGAAAGUGGUGGCUUGCUCUAGUGUUGAAGCUGAGUUUUGAGUAUAACAUAAGGUAUUUGUGAACUACUUUGGCUGCAAAUUAUUUUAGAAGAUUUGAAGAUAAAAUUGGAUGGACCUAUGAAGUUCUAUUGUGAUAAUAAGUCAGCAAUCAACAUAGCUCAUAAUCCCGUUCAACAUGAUCGAACAAAACACGUUGAGGUGGAUAGGAAUUUUAUCAAAUAUUUUUAUAUUUAUUAGUGACAAAUAUUUAUUUCACGUUUUCGGAUAUAUUAGUGACAAACAUUUGUCCUAUGUUUGUUAUGUAUCAGUUAUUAAUAAAUGUCUUGUGUAUAUUUAUCAUUGAUAAGUAUGUGUCCCGUGUUUUUAUUUUAUUUUAUUUUUUAUAUUCUUCGAUCUUAAAGCAACGAUGAUAGAUCAAGACCUAGAGUGAUAAUUGGUGCCAUUUAACAAAGAGUUUGCAAGAACAUUCCCAAGAUUUUUAUUUGGAUGCAUGAAAUAUGGAUUUAAGGUAUCAUUCUGGUAACCUUUGUGAUGAUGAGAAUCGUGUCCUCCAUUGACACUUCCAGCAAUACUAUCCAUAGACAUGAUGAAUCAACGAAAGGGAUUCACAGAGAAAAGAAAGAAGAGAUAUUUUUACAUUCUUAUGACAUAACUAACUACACACUAACUAUGAUUAAGACUAGAGAUGACUAUAGUUAGGAUGUUACAACUAACUGUUAACUGCCUCAAUAACUUGCAGAGCAACUUACUUAGUGUUCACUAUGUUUUGUUGUUGACAAAAUUCUUAUUUGAUGUUUUAAAAAUUACAAACAUAUUAAAUUUAUUUCAUCUUGUUAUCUACUAACUUGUUCUGUGAUAAUUAUUUCAUGAGAAUGAUCACGACAACAUUCUGGUAUCAUAAGACAAACAAAGCAGUUACGUCAAAAGACAAAUCAGCAAAAAGGCAAAAUUUAGCUUUACAAGAAUAUUUAACUUUUGAAUUAUUAAUAUCAAGAUCAAGACAUUUAUAUGCCUUAUUAAAGGAAGACAUAUAAUGUUCUGUCGAAAAGAAAAAAAAAAGAUAUUUAAUCAUUGUUGAUUGGCAAAAUGAAGAAAGAAAUGUUUUGGGCCUUAAAGAAGAUUUUUUAUCCAUUAAGGAAAAGAAACAAGUCCAUUAAAGAAAAAUAUCUCAUAAAGGCUUUAAGCACAUGUGAAUUAAAUGUGACAUCAUCAAAAGGACAAAAGAAUGACAUAAGCAUGUCACUUCUGACAACUAUCAACAACUCAUUAUAGCCGGAUAACUCUCACGUGGAAGCAUAAAGUAAGCUGGACAUCCAUAACCUUCUGGAUGUGUAAAUUAACAUUCUAGUCGUGUUGAAGAAGAAAAGUGAAAUCAAUUGAAACUUUGGAUAUCUAUAAAAAUGUGCCCAACAACUCUAUUUUCAUAGUUUAUCACCAACACACUCCACAUCUAUAAAUACAUGAAGACAUGAAGAAUCAAAACAAGUGUUUUGAAAGCAAGCAUUCUCUCGAGUGAAAAUCAUCACUAUAUACAAACUCUUCACAAACAAACAAAUUCUAAGUUCUCUCAAUAUAUCAUUUGGAUGAUACUCAUUCAAAUUUGUUUAUUUAAAUCUCAAACAUGUGUUGAGAAUUUCAUUUGAUCCAAACCCACCUCAUCAUACAAAGUGUAUUGUGUUCUCAAGUCUAUUGCUAACAAUAUUUUGAGAAGAAUUGACAACCUUUCUUGUCCAGAAUUAAAAAAUUGUAGAAGCCUACUAAGGUUUAUUUUACAGGAUUUAACGAACUGAUCUGGUGUGAUCAAGAAUUUAUGGUGCUAGUCAUAAGUUUCUGUUAGCAUGAUACUAUAGUGGAUAAUCUUACACAAGGUGUGGGGACUGAAAGUAGCCGAGUUUGGUGAACUAUGAUAAAUCUCAGGUGUUAUUCUUCUUCCCUUUCUCUCUUUAAUACUUAAUAAUCUCUCCAAAAUAUUGUGGUCCUAAUUAAUCACAAUCAAAUUAAUCCAAUGUUUUCUGGUCCUAAAUUGUUUCAUUUAAUAUUAAUUAUACAGAUGCAUUCAGAACAUUCUGAUGCAAGAUAAAACAAUUACAUAAAUAACUAAAGACAAACUCACGUUUAAAAUCAAAUUAUAAUAUUAUUUUAUCAUUCUGUUUUAUUCUCCAGAACAUUCUGGUCCUUGUUAAAAUAGUUUUACAUUUCAGCUUAAUAUCAUUUUUCUCAUUCUUCUUAUAUAUUAAAUAUAUAAUCAUUUAAUCAAAAACAUUAUGGUCCUAGAUAAAAAAGAAUUGUUAUAUAUCAAACACUCUAAUCUAAUUAGACUAACAUUUACCAAGAACCUUCUCUACUAAACAAACUUAUUUAAGUUUCAGGAAUAAUUUUAAAAGGGUCACAAUUCACCUCCUCCUCUUGCGACGUUUCUUGCUACUUCAUGUUCAACAUAGGAUUUUAUAUCACAACCAAGCGACUUUUUCACACCCACACACCCAUUAGUUAUCUAGCUGUAAUAAAAGCAUGUAAUUGAAUGAAUUAAAUGAAAAAGGAGUUAGGGUUUCAAAUAACAACCAUAUAGAUUUAGGGGUGGCCCUGAGGGCAGGCAGGAGGGGCAGUAACCUAGGGCACCAUUUUUUAAGAGGCACCAAAAUUAUUAUUUUUACUUAGUAGUUAGUACUAUAUAGAUAUAUUUCUUUUUAAUUCGUUUUGAUUAAUUAUAUUAAAAAUAUAUUUUUAGAGAACUUUAAUUGUAAAUGAAUCUUUUGUAACAAAAACUGCAAGAAGGAAAAUAUUGAAAUAAAUAAAACAACACAAUUUUAUUGUUUCGUCCAUGACACCAAAAAUCUCAGAACCAGCCCUGAGAAAGACUAUAAUGUUGUGGGGCCGCAUCUUUUCUUUUCUUAACAUGAAUGUGAAGAAAGACGAGAGAUUAUAAAAUUUAGAUAUUUUCUACGCUGCCCUUCUCUCUCUUCAUGUUUGUCUUUUGCAAAAUAACAUCAUUGUAAAAAUUAAAUUUAGUAUCUUAUACUCCCUCCAUUCCUUUUCUUUUAAUGUUUUAGAACUUUAAAUAUAUUCCAAAACUUUUGAUGUUUUAGUGAAUUUAUUAUUGUUUUCUCAAGUUUACCCUUUUCUUCCGAAGCAUAAAGAAUAACCUUCAACCAAGACAUAAACUCAAAAAGAAAAUGUUUAAAUUAAUAAUAAUAUUGAUUUUUAUGUUUGUUUUUUAUUGAACACGUAGAAAAUUGGUUUUCAAACAAACAUAACGUUUGGGAGAGUAUGUAACACUUGAGUUCGAUUCUAGAAUUGUCUAUUUGGAAGGCAGCUCAAUCUUGUAUAAAAAUAUGUCUCACAUUCAACUUGAAAUUAAAUGUCAUAGCUUGGUUAAACUAGAGCCAUGGACAGAUAAAGAGACUAUGUGAUCAAAUGUGGCUAUUUUGAUACAAGUCAUUUUGCCUUUUAAAAAAGAAAAAAUGAAUAGAUUUAAAGCAAUUGGUUAACAAAUCCAAGUCACACCUCAUCAAGGAAGGAAAAGUCAGCAUUUACUUAGCAUUCACAUAUCAAGACUUUUUGUUUAUGUUAGGCAAUUGUCCUACCUCAGGAACAAAGAGAAGAGGCCAAAAAAUAAGGUUAAAUAAUGCAAAGUCUCUGAUUCGAAGUACUUUGACUCUUUUUGUGGAUUUUAGGGAUGUUUGGUGGGUAACCUACACCAUUCAAUCAUUCCCAUCAUAUAAUUAAAUGAAUCUCACUUAAUAAAAUCAAGAAUCAUAUCCUGUUCUUCAUCAAAAUCAUAUUCCAAACCAAAUGAGUGUAUGACAUACGCUACAUAAAUUAUAAUAGAGUCUUGUUAACCAUUGUUCGGACAAUGGUUAAGGAACUUAAAAGUAGUAUGUUUGCAUUGGUUUUAAUAACUUUUAACUUUUAAAAAGUUAAAUUUAUCAGUUUUUAUCAUUUUUCAAUACUAUAUUUAUAUUUUUAUCCUCCAAUACCUCAAGAGCAAUGAUUAGCAUUCUCAUCCGUAAUAAUAUGAUUUACAUUUAAGAAAUUCAAGCCACCUUAGUCAUUAUUAAUCAUAUCCUCGAUUUUGACUUGUAAUAGGAGCUAGAACAGCUAGCGCAACAAUAAAUUUUUUGACAAAUACAUGUCCAUCAACAAGGACAGACAAAAUAUUUAAUUUUGUAAGAAAAAAAACUCAUUCAUAAAAUUAUAAUCAUGUUAAUAUAUGCUCUACGAACACAUGUUAAGAAUUCAAUAAAUAAUAACCAUUUAGACACAUGCUCGGAAACCACAUCAAACCAUAAGACGAGGCAAUGAUAUGCAAAUCACAUUUGGAAUCCUUCAACAACCAUAUAGGUUUUUCACACAUUCGAAGACCGUUAACUCACCUCACAUAAAUACAGGUAAAUCACACUUAAAGGUUAGAGUGUUUACAGGUAGAUCAUCCUCCUCUGCGACUCAUCAAUUGUGUCAUCGAUUUGGUUUACCCUCAGCUUCUUUUUUAUUGAUUGAUUAUAACUUUUUAAUAUAUCAACGACUAUAAUUAUUUACAUUAUAUAUAUAUAUAUAUAUAUAUAUAUAUAUAUAUAUAUAUAUAUAUUUCAAAGUCUAAAUUAGUAAAUGUGCACUUUUUUAUUUGGACAAAAAAGUCAUUCACCUUUAUUAUUUAAAACUAUUACAUUGAGGGUUACUUUUGUAACUUUAUUAUAAAAUAAUGGCUAAAAUAUGGUUUUAGCCCAUGUAAAUAUGUCUCGUUUUAGUUUUAGUCCAUGUAAAAAAAAAUUGUUUUUGGUCCCUGCAAAAUUUUUUGUUUUUGAAAAUAGUUCCUCAGGGACUAUUUUCAAAAACAAAACAUUUUGCAGGGACCUUUUUAAAAAACAAAAAAUUUUGCAGGGACCAAAAACAAAAUUUUCUUUUUACAGGGACUAAAACCAAAACGAGACAUAUUUGCAGGGACUAAAACCAUAUUUUAACCUAAAAUAAUUGUUAACUUGCAUCACUUAGCUAAUUACUUAGAUCCACUUUUGUUAUGAACACAACAAUUACAAACAUUAAACAACUAAAAAAAAGACAAAAUAUUUGUGUUUUUAGUAAAGACAAAAUAUAGUUAACUUGCACCACUUAGCUAACUUAGACUCACUUUUAAUUUUUUUUUUAUUAAUUAAAUGCAAUUGAAAAAAAUAACCUUCUAUGAAAAACAAUUGGAAUAUGGGUAAUUGAAUUUUAUUUUUUUUUCAAAUAAAAAUGUGAGCACUACUAGAAAAAGCUAAGAUACCGACGAAAUUUAGAGACGGAAUUAGAGACGGAAAAAAUCAAUGAGAGAAGAAAAUAAGGUGUUUAAAAUUCAUUAUCUGGUAGAACAGGUCUCGUGCGGUUGUUUCAGCGGGGUUGAUUUAGUCCUCAAUCCGAAGCUUCAUUACACUUGAAGCUUCUUAGUCGUGUUGUGUAGAAAUUAAACCUUAAUAUUUUGACUCAAAGCUCGUCAUGUGUUACUAAUAUCUAUUUCUAUUAAGUAUAUAUUUGUAUAACUGUGCUACAAUCUAUCAAUGGAUAUAAUCUAUCCACCUGUUUAUUUUAUAAAGAUUAAUUAUAUGAUUGUUUUAAUACAAAUAAAGACCUUAAAAGUUAAAAAAGUUAUACUCCAUAUUUCAAUACUCAAAUUUCAUGGUUGUCCAAGUAAGUUGUAACAUAUACUCAAAUUUCAAAAUAACAAUUCGUUAUUCAACAAAUUUGAAAAUGAUGCAAUGAUAAUGACAUAUAAUCAUCUUAACAUCAAAAAUAUAGCACAUGUAGUUGGAAAAAAAAAAAAAAAAAAAACGCAUGUCAAAAGUGUGUACAUUUAAGAUCGAUAAGUCAUUGUAGGAGUAAACCUAGCCACUUGUUGUACAUACAAUAUGAUAUAGAUUUUGAGAAAUGUUAUUUGUACAACUAUUUUGUGACAACUUUCUCUUUCAUACUCACAUUAUAUUCUUACUCUUUCUCAUCCUUUUUCUCUCUCCAUUAUUUUUGACCAAUACCAAAAGAGAAAAAGAAGGUUGUCAUGAAAGUUGUAUCAAAUGGUUAGCUCGAAAGAUUUGUAUGUUACUUUACCACAUGAUUUUUUUUUCGAACAAGUCAAAAUGGAAUAUUAUAUCAUCAAAGAUGGUUCAUCUCGCAUAAGGUAUGCAAAAGAGAAACACCCACCAAAAAAUACAGCUAGAUGUCUGGUGCCAUAAAAGAGCACUCCUGAAGAAAAACAGAAUAAAACAAGGCUACAAUAAAACACCCAUACAAUGUAAAGGGUGCCGCCAACAGUCAUGGUAACUAAAAGCAUAAGUAGACUUGUUUGCCUUUAACCAAGAAAAAGACAUCAAUUUAAUAUUUUCCCAAUAAUUAAUUAUUACACCUCUCUUUAAAUAUAAUAUAUUCUUAAGUAGUUUUUUUGUCUUUGUUAUAUGACCAUUAAUUUGUAUAAUUUUAUCCCAAUUAAUUUAUAUUUUUAAUUAAAUUAAAGAUGCAUCUAGUAUAACUUCUGAAAAAUGGUUAAAGAGUUGAACAUCACGUCCUUAAGGAGCAUGAACAAACUUCUUAAAAAUGGUUAAAGAGUAUGAAUGUCAACAUGUAUCUAUCAACCAAUUUUUUAAUCAAACUAACCUGUUCCAUAUGAACAUAACCUCAGAUAUGGACCAGCUCCAUGCAUGAGUGUGAGUUAGCUUAAAACUUAUGUUAUAUCUAUCAUUCUUUCUAAUAAUUUUAUUGAAUGAAUUCUAUUUUGCCCGUGCAAAAAAAGAAGUAAAAAUGAACCUUCUAGGAGAGCAAGGAAAAAAUUACUGGUUAAUGGUGAUUUUGACUGGUUUCUUAACUAUGAAGUUAUGACCUUGCACCAACGUUAAGGACUAAGUAUUUGAUCUAUUAAAUUAGGGUUACGAAAGCUCUAGUUUUGCUAAAUUAUGAAAAUACUAGUUUUGUUUAUAAUAGUGAUCAGAGGUAUAUAUCAAGACAUGUAUAUUGAUUUUGCUAAAUACUACUAAAUUGGUGAAAUUGGAAUUCCUAAAGUUUAAUAUCCCUAUAUUAGACGAUCAUAUAUCAAGACAUGUAUAUUGAAUUUGCUAACUUUGAAAACAGCAUACAAACCAAUAUAUUAAAAUAAGAGCAGUGUCAACAUUUUCUGGCAAAUAAGCUAACUUAUUCUUUUGUUUACAUUUCAUUUCAAAUUCAUACCCAACUUGGGACGCAUUGGUCCAAAAAGCAUACUCACUAAUUCAAAGGCAAUCCAUUUUUUUAAUAAUAGCUGCAUGUAUCAUAAUACUUUUCACAUUUGUAAACUUAAUUUUCAAAGGCAACCAAGAUGAAUAGUUGAGGUAAAUUGGACAAAGAAAAAACCAUAUACAAAUACGUCUAUUCCUCUCCACCACCACCACCACCACCACCAUCUAAGCCAUACAAAUACGCUUCUCCACCACCACCAGUUUACAAAUACAAGUCCCCACCUCCACCCGUCUACUCACCACCACCACCACCAGUUUACAAGUACAAGUCCCCACCUCCACCACCAGUUUACAAGUACAAGUCCCCACCUCCACCCGUGUACUCACCACCACCACCACCAGUUUACAAGUACAAGUCCCCACGUCCACCCGUUUACUCACCACCUCCACCAGUUUACAACUACAAGUCCCCACCUCCACCCGUCUACUCACCACCUCCCCCGGUUUACACGUACAAGUCACCACCUCCUCCCGUCUAUUCACCACCUCCACCAGUUUACAAGUAUAAGUCUCCUCCUCCUCCUGCUUACUCACCACCUCCACCACAUUAUAUCUACUCUUCACCACCUCCUCCUCCUCCUCCUUACCACCACUAAAUGGUGGUUUACGAUAGUAUCCCACCGUAUACUUCUUCCUAUGUACAACCCACACAAAAUACAUAAUAUUUAAAAUAUUUUUAUAUAAUUCAAUUACAGUGCUUAUAAUAUUAAUCCGAUAAAUAUCUAGUUGGGCAUAGCUUCAAAUAAAAAAAUUUGGUAACACACAUAAAUGAUAAAAUUUACCAGAUAAAAAUUUAGUGACAUCAUAUCCUUUCUUUUUUAAAUUUUAUCAUUGAUGUGUGUGCGUUUAAAUAAAGUGUUGUUGCUUUUGGAAAUAGGUUUAAAUGCGAAACUACAUAUACCUUUUAAAGUUUUAAUUUAAAAAAUUGGAUUGUUAAAAUAUUAUCAUUGGCAAUUUGUAACAAAAAAAAUGAGACCUGAUGCAGAAGGUGAGUCAUGAGGUCAUCCACUAUACAAUAUGAUCACAUUAUGAUCUUAUUAAUUUUGUUUGAUUUAAAAUUUCAAGCGAUUAAUAAUCCUAAUAAACAGUUUUAGCUAGAUUAUAUAAUGUUUAAGGCAAAACCAUUUUCUUAAUGAAAGAUAUUGAUAUAUUUAUGUGUACAUAUACUUUGCAGGGUUUGAGGAAUAUAAUGGAAAUAAUAAAGAGAAGACAGUGCAAAGCAGGAAAGAUGCAUCAAUUCACAAUUAUAUAGCACAAUAAAAACAACAACCUAAGCAGUUUCCACGCACUCUGAUUCAGAAAAUGUCACUCCUUUUUUCUUCAUUUUAUUUAUGAGAUUAUUAUUCUCAUUAUUGUGCUUUGAUGUUUGAAUUUAUACUGUUGUAAAGCACUGUGUGUAAUAUUAUUCAAAUAAAUAGAGAACGAUUCUGAAAUUUGUCAUAUUGUAAAGAAUUGAAUAUAUACGGUGGCAGAGCCAAUAAUUUUAUCGAGUUUGAAUAAAAAAUUUACCGCAGAUUCACAUGCGACAUAAUAUAUAAAUAGUCAUAAAUCGAAAUAAAAUAGGCUCAUCAUUUUAUCGAUAAAAAUUACAAUUUAUUUGAAAUAAGAAAGAUGAAACAUAACCUGUCAAUAAUGUGCUAAAUAAAAUUAGAAGGUAAAUGCCCUUCCCGAGACCUCUUUGCGGUGAAUGUUCGAAUAAUAUCAACAACAUCAAGUGACUUGAAUUUCUCCCACUCGGUGUAACAUAUCAUCAAGUCAUUGAACCACACAAUGUUGAUCUUGUUGGUAACAAUUUUUUCUCACGGGCUUAUAAGAUUAUUUUACCAGCUUAUUGACAGGGCUUGAUAACUGAUGGACUUUCAACUUUUGUUGAUGUUUGUAAUAACUUUGGCGCACCCGCUAUUGUUGAAGAUCCACAAAUUAGAAGUUAAAAUCUGAUUCAUUAUGCUUUGAUGUAGAAAUGAUUGUAAGUUUUUUUGGGUAUGAAGUGAUUGUAUGUCUUUUUUUUUUGUCUAAUAAGCUAUUAUAAAUAGUGAUUCAAAUUUUGUUACCAUAAAUUAAAUGAGCAAUGGAGUAUAUGUAAAUUUUGAUUUAUGCGAGUAUUGAGUAUUUCCGUGAGUAUUGGUUUGGAUGAAUGGUAUAAUAGUUCAUAGUUAGGGAGAAUUAUUCUAAUUAAGCCACUUCAAGAAUUUAUUCUAAAAAUUGAUUAUUGUAAUCAAUUUUAAAUUCCAAUAAUAUUGAUUAUAAUAUUUUAUUAUAUUUAUUAAACUAAUUUUAGUAGUAAUUUUAUGAAUUAUUCCUUUUUAGAAUUUAUAGUAGAAUAGAAAAUAUAAAAUAAAAUAAAACAAUGAUAAGAUUUAGUGACAGCCGCAACCGCAGGUAUAGGUCCGUAAUGUUUUUAAAAUGGUCUACUUGGAAUUACAUACGUUUUGUCCGUAGGUAAAGGUGGAAAAUAUGCAGCGACAUCCAUUUGACAAUGACAGACGGAUUUAGCUACGGAAAUUUAUCCUAGAGUGACGGAUUUUUGUUGUCACUACAAGUUAAAUUUCUUGUAGCGAUACAAAGAAAGUAUCGGUUAAGCCCGGGCAUGUACCCAGACUAGAUGGGUUGUAAAACCGCUCCUGAAAAUAUACAGAAUACAUGCAUGAUUCAAAAACUAUCUAAUUUUUCUGGAAAAAAGGCUAAACUGCAGUUUUGACCUCCUAACUUUGUAAAUGUUGGGAUUUUGGCCCCCUUUUAAAAAAAUGAAAAUUUUCCUCCCCUAUGUUUUAGCCCCUUUGCAAAAGUGACCAUUUGGUCAAUUUUGACCGGGUCAACACGGAGGUGGCACUUCAUUAAUGGUGCGGGCACGCUACAUGUGUAUUUCGCAAAUUUUUUAAAUCAAAAUGCCACUUGUGUAUUUACUUGAAUUAAGAAAAAAAAAACUAUAUAAAGGUCUUGCACGUGUGAAGUCUUUCAGAUUCUAGGGUUAAAAAAUUUCCCAAAUAUUAACAUCAAUGAAAAACCACAAACCCCUAAGUUUCCAAAUCAAAUCUUCAUCCAUAAUCUCCUUCCCAAAUUGUUUCUGAAUUCGAAUAUCCUUCAUAAAUCGAUUGUCAGGUUUUUCUUCAUCUUUGUUUGUUGCGAAAAUGAAAUGGGUUGAAGAUGGAAAGGCGGCGACGAGUACAGGUUCGAAGAAGAAGAAGAAUAAAGAUGCGACAGGGAGUACAGGAACAAAGAAGAAGAAGAAGGAUGCGACAACGACUAAAGGUUCAGAGAAGACGAGAGAUUUGAAUAUGGAAGUUCAAUCAACUCAAGGAAACAUGUUCAAUGGAAAGAUUCCCGACAUGGAUGCUUCAUAGUAAGCGUUUUUUUGUUUUCAUAUGUCUAUUAACUAUAAAGUAAAGCUCAUGUUACAUUAUUUCUGAAUAAAAAAGGGUUGUUGGACCCAGAAACAGUUGAAGAUGAAUGGUUACAUGCCAUUUUUCGUUUUCCGAUCUGCAAACACACAAAACAAAUCGACCUGGAAGAAAGGAUGUAGAGGAAGAAUCGAUUUCAGAUAGGUAAUGUGAAGGAUGGUUGAAGAAGAUGAAGUUUCGAUUAUGGAGAAGAAUGGAUGAAGAAGAGCGAAUGAAGAAGAAAGGUUGAAGAAUUGGGGGUUUUUAAGGUUGGAGAUUUUUACCGUUGGAACUCUCACGUGCCAAUCCUUUAUCUAUUAUUUUUUUUAAUUCAAGUAAUACAUAGGUGGCAUUUUUAUUUUAAAAAAAAUGGCAAAAUACACAUGUGGCGUGCCAACACCAUUAAUGAAGUGCCACCUCCGUGUUGAUCUGGUCAAAAUUGACCAAAAUGUCACUUUUUCAAAGGGGCUAAAACACGGGGGGAGGGGGGGCAAAAUUUUGAUUUUUUUUUUAAUAGGGGGACAAAAUCGCAACAUUGACAAUGUUAGGGGGGACAAAAUCUGCUCCUUUCCGUCCCUUUGGUUUCGAUAAGAGUGGUUAAGUACCAUAUUGAGUGGUUUUAAUCGAGCGAUUAAGCCAUAUCUUUUAGGUGUAUAUACUCGAACAAUUACAUAUUGUGCAAUACGUGAUUGAAUAGUGAUAUGAGCUGUUUUAUUCUGGAGGCGACGCGGUUGUUAGUCUACAUUGCACAAACUUGGGUAGUGCCGCGAAACGUCUUAAAGAGAGCGACCUGGUCGUGACUCAACCUGAUAAUUUAUUCGGUACUAGUUUCUGAUUUGUAAUCUCAACAAAUAUCUCAUGAGCUAUAUUCUUCGGUAGUAGGCUUCAGUUUAUGUCCAACAAUAUAAAUAGGGGGAUUCGAAGAAUCCUAACCGUUGCUUACUUUUCUGUAACCAAAACAGGUAACUUGCUAUGUUGCAAACAGAUAAACAUUGCAAUCUCUAACCUUUAAACUCUUUUAUUUUAUAUCGUCACCUUAAAAUAAGUAACGUGAAUUGUUAGGACGAAAUGACAAUCCAUGUGGAUACGAUACUGUACUUAUCACUUUAUUACUUGGUAAACGAUUUGGUACACUUGCAUAAUCCGCACAUCAAUAAUCUUUGUUUGUUAGAAGUUUCUUGCUUGUAUGCUUGAGCAUUGAAAGUCUCUUGCUUGUGUGGCUGAGCAAUUGUAAUCUUGUAUGAUUAUAGUAAAAAAUCUCUUGUAAGUGACAAGGGUAUUAAACUACUUCGGGAUUGAUACCUUGAAACGCUUACCAGAAGGCCAUCGACAUAUAAAUAGACUUUACACAUCUUGUGCUCCAAUGUGUACCUUUAAUAUAAGUCAUUUUGCCUAUUAAAAAAGCAAAGAUGAAUUGAUUUAAAAGUUAACAAACCCAAGUCACACCUCAUCAAGGAACAAAAAGUCAGCAUUUACUUAGCAUUCAUAUAUCAAGACUUUUGGGUUAGGUUAGGCAAUUGUACCACAUCAGGAACAUUUAGAAGAGGCCAAAAAAUAAGGUUAAUUAAAUAAUGCAAAGGCUCUAAUUCGAACUACUUUGACUCUUUGUGUGGAUUUUAGGUAUGUUUGGUGGGUAACCUAUAUCAUUCAAUCAUUCCCAUCAUAUCAUAUAAUUAAAUAAAUCCCACUUAAUAAAAUUGAGAAUCAUGUUCAUGAUCAAGUUGGUGUAUGCUUAGAACAGUCUCAUGGUAUAAUUAAUUUGUCCCUACUGAACAAAAUCAUAAUUUAGAAACAUUCAUAAAUUAUAAAUAAUAAUACAAUCUUAGUCAUUUAUUAAUCAUAUCCUCAAUUUUGACCUGCAAUAGGAGCUAGCACACAGCUAGCGCAGAAAUAUAUUUUUUCCAAAUUCAUGUCUGUUACUUAUAGUUGUCAAAAAAAAAAAAAAUGUCUAUUACUUAUAGAGACAGAUCAAUUAUUUAUUUUUUACAAGGACAAAAUUCAUACUUAAAAUUAUAAGACUAAAAGUAUAUAAAAUACUUUAAUUAGAGUCUAUCAUUGACUAAGGUAAAGGUUAGAGUUUUUACAGGUAGAACAUUCCAUCAACUGUGGUUUACCCUCGACUUCUUUUUUAUUUAUUUAUUGAUUAUAACUUUUUAAUAUAAAAACAACCAUAUUUUUUAAAUACAAAUAACUAUAAUCAGUUUUCUUAUUUAUUUGCAGCUUAAUUCAGUUGGUUUGAAUAAUGCAUAAUAUAUGCAAGGUCCGUGGUUCAAAUCCCGGCCACCACAAAAAAAAAUGUAUUGUAAAAAAAAUGUAUAAUAUAUAUAUAUAGACACACACUAUAUCUUUUUCAACUUUUUUGGGCUGACUUUUUCUAUUUCUAAAAAUGUCUUCAAUUUUCAAUACAAAAACACAUGUAACAAAUAGAUAAGAACAAACGUAAAUAUUAAAAAAAUGUAACAAACUCGAUAUGAAUAUAUAUAUAUGUGUGUGUGUGUGUGUCUGGUUUUUUCCUUUAUCAUUUAAAAAGUGUAACAAAUAGAUGAGUAUAUUUAUACUUACUUUUUCAUUAUCUCAAUUAUAUCUUUAAACAAUUUUUUUUUCUAUAAUAAAGAUUGUUGUUUUUAUCAUUAAAAAAAAAUUAGAUUAUAUUUUUUUUGUUAUAUUGUUGGUGUCAUUGAAAUAGAUAAUCAUUGUUAGUUUGAUUUGUUAUAACUUAAAGCAACAAACAUUUAUGUUUUGUUAGAAUAAAAAUCAAAAUUUAUUAAAAAAAACAUGCGUUCAUAAAUUGCAAUAAAAAGAAGGGAAAUAGAUGAGUUUGAACAGACUUUUUCAUUACUUGUUUUAACCUUCAUUUAAAAUAUUUUAUUUACAAUUUUAUCAUUUAAUAAUAUUAUUUUAAAUUUUAAUCAAAAAAUUGAAUCCUAUUAAAAUAGGAAAUAUGCCACUACAAUAGAAACAAUAUUAUCAAUAUUAUAUAAGAAGAGGAUAGAUAUUUUGAGCUGAAUUUUUAUAAUUCCAAUUAUAUUCUUAAACAAAUUUUCUUAUAUUAAUGUUAUAUUGUUGGUGGUAUUAAAAAAUAGUAUUUAUGUUAUAUUUGUUAAAUUAUUAUUAUUAUUGAAAAAGAUAACAUGUUUUUCUGAGUUUAUACUUAUAAUUUUGUUACAUACUCUCGUUUCUUGUUUUUUUUUAUUAAAUAUAUAUAAACAACGGAAGUGACCCUUCCCGUAUAAGAUGUGUUAAGGAAGGUCAACUAGAGUUUGUACAAAGACAGCAAAGCCAAAAACAUAGGAGAACUGCCGCAAAACACGAAAGAUAUAAUAAAUAAGGGUUGUUUUUUCUUUCUUUAAAAAAAAAACAAAAAGAAAUAAGGGUAGUGUUAACUUGUGCUUUUAAGACACAAGUUAAGAAUUUAAAAAUGGAAUUAAAUCAUAAAUUAUGUCUUGAAAAGAUAAGAUUUUGAAUUUCUAGAAUAUUGAAUGCACAAUUUUCAACAAAAUAUUUCUAUUUUUAGUUUCUUAACUUGUGCCUUGAGUACAAAAAUUAACAUUUCCUUGCAAAUAAAUGCCCAAACAAAAUAAAUGUAAGUAUACUCUCGUUUCUAGUUUGUUUAAUAUCUAUUUCUAUCAAGUAUAUAUUUGUAUACUUUAUGCUACAAUCCAUCAAUGGAUAUCAUAUAUACAUUCACCUGUUUAUUUUAUAAAGAUUAUGGAACAAUUAUAAACACAAGGAAAAAGUAGAAAACAGCGAGAGAAAGAAAGAGAGAACACAAAAUAAUUUGUUUACCCAGUUCGGUUCAAAUUGACCUAGUCCGAGGCAGAGAGCAGCCCUCCGUUCCACUAUAAUGAUGAGUAACUUUACAAAAGAGAUAUCAAUGAGUUACAAGAAUAAGUCUCCAAACCUAAUUGUACCCAAAGUCUCAAUCUCUUCCCGUGAACAAGAGACUCAAUCCUAAUAGUGUUUCCCAAGGUGAAUCAACAACAACCCUAGUUUCUCCCGCUUAGAGAAAUCUCUCUAAAACCUUGGUUUGUUGUCUGUUUCUAAACCCUUGUUUUCAGCCCCUUCUAUCUCAAGGUUUACAUGUGAUACAAGGUUUAUAUUUAUAGUAAAAGUAAUCGCUAAAAAAUUGGAACAAAUCUCACGCUGAAAAGUACAUUUUAUUUUUAUGCAUCAGUGUAAAAUCGUACUACGAUUUUCCAAAUCGUAUUUCGAUUUUUCCAAAAUGGAAGUGCCAAAUCUGAUCCAAAAAUCGUACUACGAUUUUCCAAAUCAUGCUACAAAUUUGACAGCUUCCAGAUUUUAAUUUUGAGUCACUUUUACAACAAAGACCUUAAAGUUUGUGGUAUUAUAUACUUAAUAUAAUACUCCCAUGGCAACCUGAUUAGCUCCCUUGUUAUUAGAAAGUUACACGCAAUUUCAGGGUUUGGUUGUAUUAUAUCCUGUCCAGCUAAGUUGUAACAUACUCAAAUUUCCAAAUAAAAAUUCGUUAUUCAACAAAUUUGAAAAUGAUGCAGUGAUAAUGACAUAUAAUCAUCUAACACAUGUAAUCAUAUAACCAGUUUGGCUAGGUGAUACUUAUGGUAGUUGGACAAAAAAAAUAUCACAUGUCAAAUGUGUGUACAUUUAAGAUUGAUAAGUCAUUGAAUGAGAAACUUAGCCACUUGUUGUACAUACAAAUAUUUGUACAACUUUUAGAUAAUUUUCUAUUUUAUAUUCACAUUAUAUUUUUACUCUUUUUUUUUCUUUUUUUUCUUUAUUGUUUUUUAUCAAUAAAAAUAGAGAAAAUGAAAAUUAUCAAAAAUAUUGUAUCAAAUGGUUGUUCAAAUAUUAUUGCUCAAAAUAUACAAUAUGAUAUAAUUUUCCAGGAUCGAAAGAUCUAAAUAUGUUCCUUUCCCACAUAAUUAAUUAUUACACCUGUCUUUAAAUAUAAUAUCUUUUUUUUUUUUAAUUUUUAGUAGUUCUCAUGUCUUUGUUAUACGACCGUUAAUUUGUAUAAUUUUAUUUCCAUUAAUUUAUAUUUUUUUUAAUUAAAUCAAAGGUGCAUCUAAUAUACUUUUUUUUUAAGAGGCUAAAAUGAAAUACAUUACCAAAACAAGAUAUUUUUCCUAGCACAAGAUGUACAAAGGAAGAACAAUAGAGUCAAUAGAAUAUGUACAAUCAAGCAGAAAGAAAGCACCAGAGACCUAUAAGCAUGAAACAGAACUAAGUAGUGCCCAAAAUAACUAAUGGACUAAGCAACAAACCAUGAAAAUUAAACGAAAGAGAGACAAGUUUCGCCUUCAACCACGUAAAGGAAAGAACCUUAAUCUAAUAUAACUUCUUAAAAAUAGUUAAAGAGUUGAACAUUACCACCUUAAAGAGUAUGAACAAACUUUUUAAAUAUGGUUAAACAGGAUGAAUGUCACGUAUUUACAGUACAUAUAUCUUUGGUUUUUAUAUGUGUUUAGUCUCUGUAUAUGGGGUCAUUUAAAAAAUUAAUCAUUUAAAAUGGUCUCUACAUUCCUUCAUUAUGACAUUUUGCCCUCCCAAAAAUUAAUCAUUAAAAAUUUGGUCCCCCCUACUCAAUCACUGUCACGUCACUGGAUUAGCUGACGUGGUACAUUGACUCAGCAAAGUUUGAUGUGAAGUGACAAAAAUAGCCCUAACACUCUGUUUGGUAUGAGAGAAUUACAGCAGAGAGAGAUAUUGAAGAGAGAAAGAGAAGAGAAAUAUGGUAUUUCUCUUGUUUGGCAAAGGCAAGAAAGAGGGAGGAGAGAUAAGUUUUGCGUGGGAUCCACGUGUUUUUUGUUCGCCCCUAUAAACGAAGAAAGAAGAAAGAGGAGAGAAAUAUACAUUUACUCCCUUUGCCUUUUAUACCCUUCAAUUUAAGACACAACACACCUUUUUUUUUUCUCAUUACUUUGUUUUUAUUCUUAAUAGGCUUAUCUAAAAAUUAUUUCAAGGACAUUUGUACUUUAAAAAAAAAAAAAUUGAAGAAGCUAAACUAACCCCCUCAAAUUGGCACUAGAGAGAAUCGAACUUGAAACCUUGAGGAGGAGCACACUCCCAGGUCCCAAGCCAAUACCACUAGGCCAACCCAAGUGGGUUUGUACUUUUAAAAAUUAAUCACACUUCUCUCUCUUCUAUUUCUCUUAAUUUUAACCAAACAAUACCUUAAAUCUAUUCUAUUUUUCAUUUUUUUCUCUCUUCUCAUACUCUCUCUCACCUAUUUCUCUCUUCUCAAUUUCUUCUUUCAACCAAACACACCCUAAGUAAUUUCGCUGCCCUCUUAUGGAAGGAGGGGCAUUUACUUUACAAGUAAAUAAAGUAUCUUUUUUAAUUUAAAAUUUCCUCUUUAUGGUUUUCUUAACUAAUGUCCUGGGUAGGGCUAGACAAGGACCCGCGACCCGGCCCAACCCGAAAAAACCGAAGAAAAAAAACCGAGCUGAGUGGGUUAAAGCAGGUCCGCGGGUCAAACGUGUCAUAAAUGCGGGUUCACAAGGGUAUACAUGGGCAGAGGCGGGUAACGGACCUUCACCUGCGGGUACCCGAACCCGCCAGUAUUGGAUAAGUAAAAACGACGUCGUUUUGAAGAGUGGGGAGACCACUAACCCUAGAUCUAACCCAUUCAUUUCAUUUCUUCUAAAAAAUUCUCUCAUUCACCUCACACUCUUUCACCUUCCUCUUCAAACCCUAGUGCCGCCGCCGCAUCUAACCACCACCACCACACCAUCAAAUCCUCCUACCAACAUGAAUCACCACUUUCCAACUUGAUUCCCUUUGUUUUACGCCGUUCUCUGUCAAUCCACGCAGAAAAAUGGAGGCAGAUCCUGAAACUCUCUCUCACUCUCAGUAGCUAACACCACUGUAGAACCGUAAAUCGCCGUCGUUUUUGUUUCAUGAAUCACGUCUCUGCUCUGCAUAUGCUUCAGAUCUAAAGGUUAGAUAUUUUGUUUUUAAUCUUUGUAAUUUUUUAUUUUUAUUUAGGGUUUAUGAGUGUCUCACCACAUGCUUUUGUUUUUGUUUGAUGAUUCACAUCCAUGCUCCGCGUAUGCUUCAAAUCUGAAGGUUGGUUUUUGUUACAUUUUUCAUAUUUUGUGCUUUGAUUUUUUCAAUUCUUGCUUCUAACAUUUUUUUUUUGUUUCAAUCUCAUCUCUGCUGCUUAUGCAUUUGCUGAAGAUUUUUUUUUUGUUUCAAUCUCAUUUUCUCAGACCGGCUUAGGAAACUUCCAUAUCACUGAAUAUUUUUCCAGAUCCGAGAGGUAAUCUUCCUUCUUGACAUCUAGAUCUGAGAGGUAAUGAUUUAUCUUAAUAUAUUUAGUUUUGUAUUUGUUGAGUUUAUCUAUGUCUUUGAUGUAUAUUUUGUUGAGUUUAUGCAUGAUUAUUAAUGUCUAUAGCUUCUGACUUGAUUAUGUUUAUGCAUACUUUGUUGAUUCUUAUACUUCUUCCUUGGAGUUCAUUUUUUCUUUGUUUCUUUCUUAUCCUAAUGGUUUGUUGUUUAUCUAUUUAUUUUGUUUGUAGUAUUCUAAUGGUCCAUUAAUUAUCUUGUUUGUAUAGACACAUGAAAACUGAUACUGCUAGUGUGAAUCCUUUGGCUCAAAUUCCAAUUCUAGUGCAAGGCCAAGGACCUGAACAUGCUAAGGUAGUGCUAAAACUAAAGAAAAGAAAACCUGCUAGACCUCCUUCAAUGGUUUGGAGACAUUUUAUGAAGAAAAAAGACACUGCCUUUUGUAACUAUUGCUUCACUUCUUUUGUUUCAAAUGCUUCCAACCAUCGAACUAACAACAUGCUUAAACACAUGAUGAUUUGUCCAAAAACAUGAAGGUAGUUUUUUUAUUACUCUGAGUUAUGUUGAUUUAGUAAUUUUAUUGUAACUUUGUAUUUGAUUUAGUCUAUUUUAACUCUAUUUUGGUAGAUGUCUUUGAUGUUAGUUUGCUAGUGUUAUAUUUUGUGGCUUUGAUUUAUUAGUACUAAUGUAUAUUUUUUAUAUUGUUUUUCACAGGUUAACAAUAUUCUUACUUGCUAUGAUGGUAUCUCUUGAUCUAUUGUGAAUCAAGAUAUACCAAGGAGGUGUUAUUUUUUGUUAUUCAGAUCCAGUUUUAGUAUUAUUAUAUUCAAGACCACUAUAUUUAGUUUUUUAUUUAUUAAGGAUAUGUAAAUUGUUAAACUUAUUUUUAUUGGUUGUGUAAGUUAAAUUAAGGCUCGAUAUCAAAUGGGAAAAUGAGACAUCAUCAUCCCCCUUUAACAAGCUUCUUAAAGGAAAAAAUUUAACAAAAUUAUGACAAUAUGAUCUAAGUUAAAUAAACAUACAAAAUGGUUUAAUACAAGAGAAAAUGAAACACUACAAAAUUUGUUGGGGCAGAAAUUCUAAAUGGCACAUUAAAAAUGAACAUAAAAAAUGGUCCAUUACAGUGAAAUUAAAAAUAAAUCGCAACAAAAUUAAUUGGGCCAGAAAUGGUUGAAUGACCCAUUAAUUGGUCCAACCCGUUUGAACCCAACCGUUUAACCCGUAACCCGAUUCACCCGAACCCAACCAAUCCGACUCCAUUAUUUGGGUAGAAAUGGGUGUGUAUUCUACACCCGCAGGUUGGGCUGGAGUAGAGGUUUGGACCCGAACCCGCCCGAUGUCCACCCCUAGUCCCGGGGCACUGGUUAACAUAAACCUAAAACAAAAAUAGAAAAUAAUGACCUAAGUUUUCUAAUAAUUGAUAUUUUAUUAGCUUAAAACUUUUGUUAUAUCGAUCAUUCCUUUCCACUCUUUGUUCUUGGUUGUGUUUUAAUGAAAAAAAAGAAGUAAAAAUGAACCUUCUAUGAGAGCAAGGAAAAAAUUACUGGUUAAGCCUUAUGACCUUGCACCAACUCUAAGGACAUUAAUUAUGUUAUAUAGCAAGAUAUCCUCUCAUAAAUUGGUGAAAUUGGAAUUCCUAAAGUUUAGUUUCCCUAUAUUAGACGAUCAUAUAUCAAGACAUGGAUAUUAUUUUGCUAACUUUGAAAACAGCAUACAAACCAAAAUAGUACGUAUUAAAAUAAGAGCACCGUCAACAUUUUCUAGCUAAUAAGCUAACUUACUUUAUUCUUUUGUUUACAUUUCAUUUCAAAUUCAUGCCCAACUUGGGACGCAUUGGUCCAAAAAGCAUACUCAUUUAUUCAAUGGGAAAAACUUUUUUUAAUGGGUCUUGCUGACCAUUGCUCGAUGGCAAUGGUUAAGGAAGGCAAAAGUAGCAUGUUUGUAUUGAUUUCAACAACAUUUUGACUUUUAAAAAAUUAAAUUUAUCACUUUUCACCAUUUACCAAUGCUAUAUUUCUAUUUUUAUCCACUUAUCCAAUGCGCCAAACGCAAUGAUUAGCGUUCUCAUUUUUUAAUAAUAGCUGCAAUGUUACAUAAUCGUUUUCACAUCUGUAUACUUAGUUUGUCUUAAAAAGACAGUCACAUUGAAUAUUUAAUUAAAAUUUUAUUUUUAUUCAAUUAUACACUAUAAUUGAUAUUAAGCGCCAUUAAAAAAAUUAUUAAGUGGAUAACAAAUUAUUAUUCACUAUAAUUUUACUAUAAUUAUUAUUCUUCACUUUGAAUUACCAAGGUAAUUUAAUAAAAUUAAUAUUCUAUGUGACGUAUUUGUAAUUACUUCCUAAUUCACGUGAAAUGAUUUACUUUGCUAGUUAUUAGAAUUUUAAUUUAUUAUAAUAUUUUUCUUUUUGCUGUUGGAUAAUAGGUGAAUUAUAAAAUGUGUCAAAUCAUAGUACACCAACCAAGAUGAAUUGUUGAGGUAAAAUGGAUAAAGAAAAAACUAUAUAAAGGGUACUACUAUCUUUCAUAAGAGCAACAACAAAACACACUUUAGGAAAAUAUGAGGUUCCAAAUGGCCUCCAUUACUCUUACUAUUGCAUUCACGAUAAUCUCUCUUAGCCUGCCAUCCCAAAUUUCAGCAAACAAUUACGUCUAUUCAUCUCCACCACCACCAUCUAAGCCAUACAAAUACGCUUCCCCACCACCACCAGUUUACAAGUAUAAAUCACCACCCCCACCUGUCUACUCACCACCUCCACCUGUCUACUCACCACCACCACCAGUUUACAAGUACAAGUCACCCCCUCCACCUGUCUACUCACCACCUCCACCAGUUUACAAGUACAAGUCCCCACCUCCACCCGUCUACUCACCACCUCCCCCGGUUUAUAAGUACAAGUCACCACCUCCUCCCGUCUAUUCACCACCUCCACCAGUUUACAAGUAUAAGUCUCCUCCUCCUCCUGCAUACUCACCACCUCCACCACAUUAUAUCUACUCUUCACCAC
Molecule: long non-coding RNA, 29494 nt
Filed under: Medicago truncatula (barrel medic)
Lineage: Eukaryota; Viridiplantae; Streptophyta; Magnoliopsida; Fabales; Fabaceae
Description: long non-coding RNA (MTRU_LNC004005)
Source: RNAcentral